Molecule: long non-coding RNA, 1158 nt
Organism: Stomoxys calcitrans (stable fly)
Lineage: Eukaryota; Metazoa; Arthropoda; Insecta; Diptera; Muscidae
Exons: 3
Source: RefSeq, a predicted model, not a curated record
ACAACAUAAGCGCCAGUUGUGGAAUUGCAAUAUUGUAAAAGAACUGUGAUAUUAGCUUUUAAGUCGUGUUUCUAAUUUAGUGUGAAACCAAUAGAUCCCCUGAUGAAGUCACGCAAAAAGGGACGAAACGUUGGGAUUAAAAAGCAAUAAUUCUUAAUGUUUUAUUAGCUUGGAAAAUCUUAGGCCUUUGGACGGCUGCCAGACAAAUACAGACAAUCGCCAAAUGCUAAUUUUCAUUCUUUCUUCUCUCUCUGCUCAAACGCAGGGCCGGCAUCAACUAUUGUUUAUGCCUACUUAGAAUCAACUCUGAUACCUCAAAAUUUAAAUCAACGGACUUAUUGGGCAGAUCGUCGUAUCAUGUACCGACGGGUUCCAUCUCAUACAAAAAAAAUUAAACGGAGCAGAUUAUGCGCUUGGAACUGGUUUGGAACUGAGCCUCAGACACUCUGUCCCUAUUUUGUAGCCUUCGUUGUGUGUCGUUGAAUGACUUUUGUUCGUAUUAGGCCUUUCACUAGAAUGCUUCAAUUUUCGCAAUCAAUUAAAAGCCAAUUUUCGAGCGAAUGAAAUUAGCACUAGACUUUAUCCAGAACGAUAUCUAUAGGGCCGAAGCGACGUGUCCCUGGUAUAUCAAUAAUAGCUCCACUGUGACCUACACAGAAAAAAUAUCGACCUAAAUUUUACCGAUUAAACAUGGAAUUGACUUAUAAACAAACUUUUAAUUGCUUCAAUCGUUUUUGACAUUCAAACACGUUCUUUUUGUAGGCAUACGUUAAACAUAUUUUUAAUUUCUGCAUUCUGUAAUGCGAAGAAGUGCGAAUGAGCCAAAUAUAUGUCUAGUUUCUAUCAUAUACAAACACAUAGUGGCGUGGGUAGACAAAAAAAAAAUCAAGAAAAAUAGAAAGUGUGGUUUUUACUUAUAUCCUUAUAAAUAAUUUGUUAAAUAAUAAUUGUUAAGUUAAAACAAUAUAUUUUAAAACGUGUUAUGAUGAAAUAUUAUAAAACAGAAAAAUUAGGGUGUGAACAAAUGAGAAAGAUACAUUCCAAACGAAAUAAAUUUGAGGACAUGGCAGAAGGUAGACGUGUUAUUUAUAAAUAUUAUUUUGUUUAAACUUUGUUCAAUAAAAAAAAUUGUACAUUCAAUAAAAAAAUUUGCUAAAA